CGGGCUGUAGCGCAGCAGGUUAGCGCACUAGUCUGGGGGACUAGGGGUCGCCAGUUCAAAUCUGGCCAGCCCGA
This 74-nucleotide transfer RNA is filed under the name Bacteroidota bacterium. RNAcentral describes it as "Bacteroidetes bacterium (marine metagenome) tRNA-Pro". It matches the Rfam family "tRNA". Rfam says of the family: Transfer RNA (tRNA) molecules are approximately 80 nucleotides in length. Their secondary structure includes four short double-helical elements and three loops (D, anti-codon, and T loops). The record is from RNAcentral. Lineage: Bacteria; Pseudomonadati; Bacteroidota.